AACCUAGCACACCUGCGGUGUGUACCUGCGGAAGGAUCAUUAAUGUGAUGGAUGUGCUAGUCUUGACCUCUCAAUCCUCCCUUCAAUAAUAUUGUUGGGUGGGGGCCUGACGGCUCGAGGGGAAGGGAAAUAAAAGCCCGUUUGGGUGUGCACUCCAAUAUAAAUCCACUUUUUUAUACCUUGUGCAUCUCUGCCUGCUGAAUGAUGAAAAGGAUAUUGAAUAGUAUUUGUCAUUGUUCA
This 240-nucleotide unclassified non-coding RNA is filed under the name soil metagenome. RNAcentral describes it as "partial contains 5.8S ribosomal RNA, internal transcribed spacer 2, and large subunit ribosomal RNA". The record is from RNAcentral.